UAGGGAAUAUUGCACAAUGGGGGAAACCCUGAUGCAGCGACGCCGCGUGAGUGAUGAAGGCCUUCGGGUCGUAAAGCUCUGUCGUAUGGGACUAACAAAAUGAAGGUACCAUGCAAGAAAGGAUCGGCUAACUUCGUGCCAGCAGCCGCGGUAAGACGAGGGAUCCUAGCGUUGUUCGGAAUCAUUGGGCGUAAAGCGGGUGUAGGCGGACUUUUAAGUCAGGUGUGAAAUCCCAGGGCUCAACCCUGGAAGUGCACUUGAUACUGCAAGUCUUGAGUGUGGUAGAGGCUAUUAGAAUUCUUGGUGUAGUGGUGAAAUACGUAGAUAUCAAGAGGAAUACCGGAGGCGAAGGCGGAUAGCUGGGCCAACACUGACGCUGAGACCCGAAAGCGUGGGGAUCAAACAGGAUUAGAUACCCCAAGUAGUCCCUGAGCGGGCUGGCAAGGCGCAU
RNAcentral lists this ribosomal RNA (451 nucleotides) under uncultured bacterium. RNAcentral's name for it is "bacterial SSU rRNA". It matches the Rfam family "Bacterial small subunit ribosomal RNA", at positions 355 to 825 of the family's 1533-position model. The record is from RNAcentral.